RNAcentral lists this ribosomal RNA (210 nucleotides) under uncultured Bacteroidota bacterium. RNAcentral's name for it is "uncultured Bacteroidetes bacterium partial 16S ribosomal RNA". It matches the Rfam family "Bacterial small subunit ribosomal RNA", at positions 67 to 272 of the family's 1533-position model. The record is from RNAcentral. Lineage: Bacteria; Pseudomonadati; Bacteroidota.
CGGCAGCACAGUGUAGCAAUACAUGGGUGGCGAGUGGCGCACGGGUGCGUAACACGUAUGCAAUUUGCCCAUAACUGGGGGAUAGCCCUCCGAAAGGAGGAUUAAUACCCCAUAACCCAGCGAGGUGGCAUCACCUUUCUGGUAAAUCUCCGGAGGUUAUGGAUGACCAUGCGUCUGAUUAGCUAGUUGGUGAGGUAACGGCUCACCAAG